CGUCAUGCCUCCCCCUGGUGGCCUCUGAAGCUCACGCAAGUUUGCACGAAGAGACACUCAGGGUGAAAUACAGCCUGUUAUAGUUUCUGAAACGACUCUCCACACAAAAAGAAACCCAAUACAGCACAUCGUUCUACCUGCUCUGUGGCUUCUGCUUCUCAAGCAACUUAAAAUGGUUAUCUCACUUCGUCUCCCAGGCUGGAGUGCCGUGGUGUGAUCUCAGCUCACUGCAACCUCCGCCUCCCUGAUUCAAGUAAUUCUUCUGCCUCAGCCUCCCAAGUACUGAGAUUACAGGAUCCUCUCUCUGGGAGCCCUCCUCUACCUCCAGCUGCAAUCAUCACCACAGGAGUGAGAGAGAGACUUGGACCUGAGCUGGACCCUCCAGCCCCCCCUCGCUGAACUACCAUCCAACCUUACGUUCCUACUGAUGUUUACUAGGUUAUUCAAUACAUAUUGUAUGUUCUGUGGCAGUGGCCACCAGUCAUUUUCAAAUAUGACGGUUUCCCUUCUUCCUUACCAAAAACACCCAUGGUUUUUAGCUGGACACCUGGUUGCCCAAAAUAAACACUACAUUUGCCGCAUCUCUUGCA
Molecule: long non-coding RNA, 590 nt
Organism: Cercocebus atys (sooty mangabey)
Lineage: Eukaryota; Metazoa; Chordata; Mammalia; Primates; Cercopithecidae
Exons: 3
Source: RefSeq, a predicted model, not a curated record